This is an RNA transcript of Vitis riparia (riverbank grape), 2777 nucleotides long. It is a transcript of the gene named putative glycerol-3-phosphate transporter 5, with no coding region annotated. The record is from RefSeq and is a predicted model, not a curated record. The transcript is spliced from 4 exons. NCBI's taxonomy places the organism in Eukaryota, Viridiplantae, Streptophyta, Magnoliopsida, Vitales, Vitaceae.
CAGGAAAACCUCUUCCACAUAGGUAGAGCAUAAUUACUAAAAUCUCCAUGGAGUUUCUCGAAAAGACAACAUGCCCUAUCUGUUCUCCAAUCAAUUUAAGCCAUAUCAUAGGGUGUACGAAACGGAAACCAACUAACCUGGCAUUCUCCCUCCAAAAAAUCAAACAGAGAAUAUUUUCUUUCCUUGUAAUUUCUGCAUAAUUCCUGAAUGUUUCUCGGGAAAAUGAGGGAAAGGGGCACAAAAAUGUUUUAAACUGCCUUUCUUUCUUAACAAAUUUUGGCUCCAAACACAAUGCAAUCUAACACCCAAGCCCUAGCCCCUGGCCUUAAUCUCUUCCCAACCCUCAAGCCCCCUCACAAAACCCUCACUUUCCACCGGAUCUCAGCUCUCCUCAUCACCUUCGUCGCGUACGCCUCCUUUCACGCCUCUCGAAAACCGCCCAGCAUAGUCAAAAGCGUCCUCAGUCCCGAAAUUCAAUCCAACUCCACUCCACUCGACACCGGUUGGGCUCCGUUUAAUGGACCUCACGGCACCCACCGUCUCGGCGAGCUCGAUCUCGCAUUCCUAUCUUCAUAUUCAAUUGGGAUGUAUUUUUCUGGUCACGCCGGUGAUCGGUUGGAUCUCCGGCUCUUCCUUGUGAUUGGAAUGUUAGGUAGUGGAAUUUUAACAAUUAUAUUCGGGUUGGGGGAUUGGUUGAAUGUUCAUAAGUUAGGGUUUUUUGUGGGGGUGCAAAUUGUAUGUGGAUUGUUUCAGAGUAUUGGGUGGCCUUGUGUUGUGGCUGUUGUGGGUAAUUGGUUUGGGAAAGAGAAGAGAGGGUUGAUAAUGGGAUUAUGGAAUUCGCAUACUUCGGUUGGGAACAUUGUUGGGUCAGUUGUAUCAUCGGCGGUGUUGGAAUUCGGAUGGGGGUGGUCGUUUGUGUUGCCUGGUAUUUUGAUCAUUAUCAUUGGAAUUUUUGUUUUCAUGUUUCUUGUUGUCAAUCCGGAAGAUCUUGGAUUUGAACUUUUAGGAAAGGAGAUAGAGAUGAAUGUGGAAGUAGAAUCCAAUAAAUCUAUGGAAAAUUCAGAGAAAGUUGAAUCGGAAGAUGCGGGGCUUCUUCCAUCCGAAGUUACAGAUUCUUCGGGUGCAAUUGGGUUCUUGGAGGCGUGGAGGUUACCAGGUGUGGCGCCUUUUGCGUUUUGCCUCUUCUUCUCCAAGCUCGUGGCUUACACUUUCCUUUACUGGUUGCCCUUCUACAUAAGGCACACGGCUGUUGCUGGUGUGCACCUGUCUCACAAAACUGCUGGGAUUCUUUCUACUAUAUUUGAUGUUGGUGGAGUUCUAGGAGGAAUUUUGGCAGGGUACAUUUCGGAUAAGAUUGAAGCUCGAGCUGUUACUUCAAUUAUAUUCUUGUUACUAUCUAUUCCUGCCCUUGUUUUAUACCGGGUUUAUGGAAGUAUAUCUAUGUACACCAACAUUGGGUUGAUGUUUCUUUCGGGGUUGCUUGUGAAUGGUCCAUACUCGCUUAUCACAACAGCUGUCGCUGCUGAUCUUGGUACACAGAGCUUGAUCAAGGGGAAUUCCCGUGCAUUAGCUACUGUCACUGCAAUUAUAGAUGGUACUGGUUCUGUUGGCGCAGCUAUUGGUCCACUUCUUGCUGGAUAUAUUUCCACCAGAGGAUGGAACAGUGUAUUUUUUAUGCUUAUCCUUGCAAUAUUUCUAGCGGGUUUGUUCUUGAUUCGUAUUGUCAAAACUGAGAUCAAAAGCAAGCUGAAUGAGGGGAAAUGACGAUGGUACAGUAUUACAGCACAAUGAUGCAGGACUUUCUCUACACAUUCUUUGCAACUCCUUUUUCCAUCUUGUUAGGGAGCCAAGUUUUGAACAUUUCACAGAGUACUGGUGGAAACGUUUCUCAAACCAUCAUUUUAUAUGUUCUGUACCUCCUUGGAAACUGGCUUUUUCUCACAGCAUACAGCACACUGAUGGAGAACCUUCACAAAACAAUCCUUCAUGGUGGUAUAUAUGAACACUGGUUAUGGAACAGAACUGAUCGGCCACACUCAUCUUUAAAUCAUGAGAAAGGUUUUGAGCGUAUGUCCCAAGACUUUCAAGAAAUGCUCAGAUGUACCUAUAGCUUGCCGAGAUCUUGUAAAGGGCAUCUCAUGUGAAAAAUAGCCUAGUUAUCAUUGUGUCCUGUAGCAGCUAAGAAAAGAGUACUGCCAACUUGAAGUACAAAGCCAGAGAUUAAUAGUCACCAGAAUGGUGCCACUGAAAUUUGCCAAUGGACAAUUCCCAUCCAAGGGAAGGAAGAAUGAAUCAAAUCACUGCGCUGCUGACCUUGCAGUCUAAUGGUGUAUGUAUGCAUGCGGGUGUCAUGUGAUGAGACAAUGAGGCACCAAAUCUCAUCUGUUGAUGCUUUGAACUUUAUGCUGGUUCUCAUUAUUGGAGAACAUGGGACCAGUUCUGCUUAGACUCUUUUUAUCAACAUUUAUGCAGUGGGGACUGGGUGAAGCUGCUUGUGCUACCAUUUCGCAAUGUGGAAGGCAAGAAUGGGUUUUAGCUUUUCACCUCCAUUGCUACAUUGUGCCGUGUUUUACAUUUAAAAACGAAAACCUGUUAUUAGAAUUUUUGAGAAUAUUGUUUGCUUCCUGCGACUAUUAGAAUAUUUUAUUGUUAAGAUGGCGAUGAAAGGGAAAGAAGGGAAUUCCUCCACUCUUUCUACUGCUUCUUCAGAAAAUCUGAUAUGUGGAUUGAGCAAUUGGAUUUGCAAUGAAAUGGUUCCAUCUUUUGUAUGAUUAUGA